AUCUGUUGAUUUCAUUGGUUAAGUAAUAAACACACUGCUUGGCCUCAUAGGUUAAAGCACUGGGGGGAGGAGUAAACAGAAUAGAAUUCUGGGCGGAAGAGGAAGUGAGGUCAGACUCUGCCCUGCUUCCAGAGGGACCGGACAGACGCCAUGCUCAGCUCUCCCGGGUAGACGCGAUAGCUCUGCUCUCUGAGGCACACGCGAUGAAGAUGGAUGUAGGCUAGAAUCUUCCCGGAUGGACAUCUUCAGAUGGAAGAAGACCACGUCCAGGUCCUCAGUUCGGUGUGUUGAGCGUUGGAAUGCCAGAGCAGGAAAGCUGGGAAGAGAAUCUUCAGUUUUCCACUUUUCUUGGCAUCUAGGUUGUACUCCAGUUAGGAGUCUCCCCUGCAAAGUGCACCCCCCACAGGCCGUACCUGAUCCGCUUCUACAGUGUGAGUUCCCUCUGAGCCUGACAGUACAGUGACCACGCUGCAGAGGAGGCCUGGUCCUCACAGUGUGUAGAGGAUCCAGAACAAGAAAUACCAAGCUAGCACGUGGUCUGGAUUUCUCAGAUGUCACAUGAAGAAACACGUGCCCACCUGAGAAAAAUAUGGACGCUCUCUGUCCGUGACGGAAGUCUUGCACAACUCACUGCUGCCUCCCCCACCUCCUUCUCUGGAGAGAAGAGGGAAGGAUGGGUGUCUAAGGGACUGACGGUUGGACAGAGCUGGUCCUAGCUCCAGUUCCUCCACGCUACCCUUGGCUUGCCCUGCACCUGCCCUCCUACCUAGAUGGGACUCCGCCAGGUGGUGCAGAACUUGGCCCCAGGCGGGUUGGGUUCUGAGCUAAUCCUGCACCCUACUACAUCUCAGCCAAGGGCUGAGUCACACCCUCGUUCUCUUUUAAUUAUUCAGGACCUGACACACUGCCUGGGAAUACAUCACUCAGAGUACAUGGUGGUGAAGAUUAAAUAUUAGAGGCAAG
This is a long non-coding RNA of Alexandromys fortis (reed vole), 963 nucleotides long. RefSeq lists it as uncharacterized. The record is from RefSeq and is a predicted model, not a curated record. The transcript has 3 exons. NCBI's taxonomy places the organism in Eukaryota, Metazoa, Chordata, Mammalia, Rodentia, Cricetidae.